This 253-nucleotide ribosomal RNA is filed under the name uncultured bacterium. Its description in RNAcentral is "partial 16S ribosomal RNA". It matches the Rfam family "Bacterial small subunit ribosomal RNA", at positions 524 to 776 of the family's 1533-position model. The record is from RNAcentral.
UACGUAGGGUGCAAGCGUUAAUCGGAUUUACUGGGCGUAAAGCGUGCGCAGGCGGUUUUGUAAGUCUGUCGUGAAAGCCCCGGGCUCAACCUGGGAAUUGCGAUGGAGACUGCAAGGCUUGAAUCUGGCAGAGGGGGGUAGAAUUCCACGUGUAGCAGUGAAAUGCGUAGAGAUGUGGAGGAACACCGAUGGCGAAGGCAGCCCCCUGGGUCAAGAUUGACGCUCAUGCACGAAAGCGUGGGGAGCAAACAGG